RNAcentral lists this long non-coding RNA (186 nucleotides) under Calidris pugnax (ruff). Its description in RNAcentral is "lncRNA (ENSCPUG00000011801.1)". The record is from RNAcentral. Lineage: Eukaryota; Metazoa; Chordata; Aves; Charadriiformes; Scolopacidae.
AUGUUCCUACCAAGCUUUCCCAGAAACCCAGCACACAAUCCCAUCACCCCUUCAACAUCUACACAAUUCUCAGCGCAAGAGAGACUACAAAAGGCCAAGAUCCAUGGAGUCAGCAGAGGGGGAGACAGAAAAACAAGGUUUCCACUGAGGAGAGAGAGGCCACGGCGAUUACCUUGAGCGAUCCUU